UAAUCGAUUAAAACAUUCCAUGCGUUGUAAAAUAUCUUUCUUUUCCCUUUCAUCAUCAUUUUCAUCACCGCUGUAAUUCUCAACUAUACUCAUCAUCUGUGAAUAAAUUUUAUAUCCAAAAUCAUAUAUAAAAAACUAUUGAUAAAAAUAAUUUAGUAUAAAUAAGUAGAACAUAAAUUCAAUAUCCAAAGACCAAACAUAAACAACUAUUAAUAAAACUAGAUUACACAUAAAUAAGUAGAACAUAAAUUCAAUGUCCAAAAACCAAACAUAAAUAACUAUUGAUAAAACUAGUUUAGCAUUGUUGUUUAGUCACAUAAUAGAUAUCUCUGAACCCUAGAAGAUCAGAAAGUGUUCAACUAUCCUCCAUUUCCGACUUAAGCCACAAAGCUCUAAUCUUGGGAUUAAUUGAUAAAAACAUAAUUCACUUGUCCUUAUUGAGCAAUAAUUUAAGUGCGAAAAAGUAUAGCAGACUAGCUUCUGGAUCUUCUUUCGACAUGCUGUCAAGCACCUUGACUGCUUGUGGAAUACCAUAUGGAUCCAUAACAAGAGUCAAACUAGAUGUGGCUUGACUCAUAUUGUCAGCUGCAUUGCAUACUUUUUCUAUUUUUCUCAGGGUUUUUUCUUUUUUGACCGUUCCCAUCAAUUUGAACAUCAUUUGAAAUGUGAACAUCAUUUAAAAUAUGAACAUCAUUUCUCAUAUUUUCUUCUUCAUUCUCUUCAGGUAUUUCGUUGGUAACAUCCUCAAAAAAAUCAGUCCGAAAUGUACCAGAAGAAGGUGCCCAUGGUUUAUCACCUGUUGCAACUAUCCCCAUGAACAUUUGAUCCAACUUUCCUUUGAAUUCAGGAUCAAUGCCCGAAGUUCGAAAUUUUUAAGCUUCAGGCACAUCCUACAUUUAAAAUGAUAGUUUAAUAACAGCAAUUAUCAAUAACCUCAUAAAUAAGAAAACACAAAAAUAUUCAGAAUUGUUAAUGUACCUAUAGCCUACUCUCCCACCAAUCAUCCGAUGCAUCAACGGUUCUUUUUAUAAGAUUCCACCCUAGACCAGUAUCUUCGCCUUUAAGUUUCUUCCAAGCUUUCCAUUCUUUUUUUAGGGCAUCCCACCUAUUUUUAAGUUGUCUUUGUGAAAAACUCUUUCCCGUUUCUUUCUUAAAGUUGGUCAUUAUUUUCAACCAUCCAUCUUUUGUGAAAUGAGUACCAGGCCUAUUGCCUUUUAAUAUCUCUUUAAUACAAAUAUCACAAAAUUUUUCUGUCAAUCUCUUAUCCCACAUUGCUUUCACCUUUUCACCACUAACUUCAACUGCCGAAGUACUAAUCUAUUGUGUAUACCAAUAGAUUCGUUUUAGCCAGUAAAACAAUCAAGAAAAUCAAAUGUCACAUAAGUAUAUUAGUUUACAUGUGUAUCAAAAUAUUUUCCUCUAAUAUUAAUUUUACCAAAAAAUGGACCCGACAGUAAAUGUUAUAUGUCUUUAUUAUAUUACCAAUAUCCAAUGAAACUUCAAUAAAUUAGCCUAACAGCAAUAACAUGGCUAGCUCCCAUUGUCUAUAGAGGUAAAGCUCAUUUCUUUAAGAAAAAAGAUAAAUAGAAUUUUGCAAAUUGAUACAACAAUGUUAACUGCAUCUAACUAUUUAGAAUCCAAGGCAAAAACAAUGAAAGAAACGUAAUAAAUGGGUUUUACUUUGUCAAGUCUAAGAACCAAGGAAUUCUAGAAUAGGUUGAUUGAGAAUAAGCUGAAAAUAGUUAAGGAGAAAUAAAAUAAACCAAAUCAAUCAUUUACAAAAGAUAUUGUACUUACUAUUGAUUUAAUCAAUAAAUUCACUAUUAUACCAAAAAGUGUCAUUUACAAAAGAUAUUGUACCAAAUCAAUCCAUUUAUUUAUCAAUAAAUUAAACCAAAUCAAUCAUUUAUCAAUAAAUUCACAAUCCAAAGCUGGGUAAUUCAGUUACAUCUCUAAGGCCAAAGCUAUCAUAUUGUUAGAUAUAAUUAGAUUUAAACAUUAGUUUAACUACUUAUUAAAGUUCAAAUUUUAAAUUUAAAAAAUAAACUUAAACAAGAAAUAAAAUGUAUUUUUCUAAAUAGAUCAAACAUAAAAUUUUUAUAUCCGAAUCCAACCUUUGUUUUAUACUGUCUAACACUUUUUCAAAAACACCACAACACAUUCUACAAACAAAUAAAUCCAAGAAAACAUUUCUGCUAAAUUAAAAAAAAAAUAAGAAGGUAAUAUUUUUUUUUUCUUUUUUGAAAACAUCAAAUUGAACUAUUAUUUAGAAAACAUACGACAAACAAAAAAAAAACAAAACCAUGGCCCAAACAUAAGUCUCUGCUCCAUUCCACCAACAAACACAACAAAAAUCAGGUUAGACUUUUAAAAACAUUAGAGAAAAUAGUACAAAAGCUUAAAAUAAAGAUUUUGGUUAUGCCUUAGCUAGUUUUGAGCUAAAAAGGAUGGGGAGAGAUGUCGGAAAGGAGUUAACAGAAAUUCUUGCCAGGAAAACAGUAGCUGGAUUGAUGAAAAUAAGAAUGAGUUGUUUCAAACUGGUUUGAGAGAGGCCACAGUUGACUGGUAACUUAUCAGGGAUUGAAUAAUGCAUACAUUUAUAUUAGUUUUGAUAGGAAAAUGGAGAAGCAACCGUUGAAGAUGAGGGCGGUGGUAUAAGUCACCGUUCCAACAGAAGAUUAUGAGUGGUCUGUGGAAGGAUCUGCUUGUUCCUUUUGUAGGAGCUUACAGUUAGGUCCAGAACUUGAAAGAAAAGAAAAGGAGAAAUUGGAACACAUGUAUGAAAACGUCAAGUAGCCUUGGUAGUAAUGCAACCAGCAGCAAGGAAUUGAAUAAAUGCAACAAAUAAGAGUACUAUUGGUUUAAAAAACAAUCAGCACUAGCAAGUAAAUUUGACCAGAAAAACAGGCAAACAUUAACUGUAAUAUCUAAGGAAAAAAGAAUACAAGAUUAUAGUUUAAGAUAAAAGAUAGCUGAUGACUUUUGAACUUUUGUAAUGCCAAAAAUGCCAGCCAAAACAUUUCAAAAAGCCAAAUACAUAGUCAAACAAGAACUGAUUAGGAUAAUGAGAACUUUUCGAAUGUGCGAAAACAAAGACACAAAUAGCCUGGGCAGCAAUGCAUUAAUCAAACUUAGGAAUAUUAAAUCAAGACCACUAACAAUCAAUUCCAAAAUGAUCUUUAAGGAACCAUAAACAUGAAACGACAACACAAACACAAAUCCGUAAACAUGCGUAGGAUUCAUUAAAAGAAAAAAGUACAUAUGCGUUUGUGUGUGUGUGUGCAUGUAUAUAUAUUUACAGUCUAGUUUUAGUUUCCAAGGAAAAAGAUCAAAAGGAAACAAAUAAUAAUGUAAACUGAAAGUCUAAAAAAUAACCUUUACUCAUACUCCACAACAAUCUCAUAUCCAUCGAAACUGUAAACCAGUUGAAACCCCCAUUUUAAGUAUUAUCCAGUUUGGCACAACAAUGUUCUAAUUAUUUGCAGAAAAAAGAAUAGAAAUCGAAAAGAUGAGACUUUAUCAUCAAUCAAUCACAAUUCAAACUGUUUACCAAGUAAACCACCAAAUUCAGCAGGAAAAGAAAAUCAAAGCAACAUCAUUUAUCAAUUAUCGACUCCACAUUUGAAAUUCGAAAUACAAAAAUCAAGAUAUAUACUUCAUGCAAUCAAAUUUAUCAGAUUCCACUGUAGCUAAGGCUCCAAUCUACUGUUAUUCACCUCAAAAUGAAAUUAGUCAAAUAAUAAACCACAAUUAAAAUCUAAGGGAAAGAACAUGCAAGUAUUCAAUCCUCGUGAAAUGCAGAUGAACAUUAAGCUCAAACAACAAUUAGAAUCUAUCACACCCAAAUCGACAAAACACGAUCUUAAUCUUAGACAUAAAUUAUGCGACAAAUCGCUGAAAACAUUGAAGAGCUAGGCAGGUACAGGUCACGUUUGCAUAUAAAAAUAUCCAACUCUAAGAGCUCAAAUAAUUGAAAUCAAUGAGCCGACCAAGAAAGGUCAACGAAUAAAAAAGAUGAGGAAAAAAUUGAAAGAAACAUUUAAAGCGAUAAUAAUCAUGAGCCAAAACAGUCAAUGAAAUUAAAUGAAUUUUCAAAAAAAAAAAAGAUCAAGCAGUUUUGUAAAUUCAUAAAUAGGAUACCUUUUAAGCUUUUAAGCACUAGAGGGUUGCCUCAAAGUAGUAGCAGAGGAGGGUUGCCUGAAUGAAAAAAUCAAAAUUUUUUUCUUUUCAGCCAAAAGCACGUUUGUGGGAGAAAAAAGAUUAUGGGAGAAGACGACAAGUUAAUUUGGUCAAUUUUCAGCCAAAAGCACUUCAAGCUGAAGAAAAGGAGAAAUUUUUAGCUUUCUCUUCUCUGAUGGUGAAAUAAUCUGGAGAGAAGGAGGCUGUUCCUCAUUCCUUUUAAGGGAAAAUGACUUUUUCAAUGAAAAGUCCUUUUAAAACGUGCAGAAGAACGGGGCCUAAGACCGUAACAGGUUGGUUAUGGCAUCAUAUGGGAAAAUUUAAGGAAGGUUAUUACCUAACGAGGUUCUUUGUAUAUCCUGG
This 4542-nucleotide long non-coding RNA is filed under the name Gossypium barbadense (sea-island cotton). Its description in RNAcentral is "long non-coding RNA (GBAR_LNC017113)". The record is from RNAcentral. Lineage: Eukaryota; Viridiplantae; Streptophyta; Magnoliopsida; Malvales; Malvaceae.